GGAUGAAUCGAAACCGCAGUUUCUGUUUCGGGCUUUCCCUAACUUUCGAUCGAUAAGUCUUCGGUCUCCGACCGAUAUUCUCGUUUGUUAUUUGCUUUAAAGUUACUUUGAUUAUUCUCAUAUUUUAGAAAAUUUACCUGGCACUGUAGUCGAGGAAAAGAAGUUGGUUGUGUCGAAAAUCGAGGUUUUUUUUUAUUUUCAUUCUCUUAAAAAUUGGUGAAAAUAAAUAUGGAUUUUCACAAUUUAUAUCACAAAAGGAUAUGUUAUCGUAGUUUUUAGUAUUGAUUUCUUUUUGGUAUAUAAAUACAAUUUGUAACAAUAUGUUUGUUAGUUAUGUACGAAAAAGUCAUUUGUAAAAUUCGGGGCAAAGCAAGACUUUGAAGGCCGAUGACAACGCCCGCUAAUAGAAGAGAACCUGCGACUAGACAUUUUCCGUUGGUGGCAUUUUGGACACCUGUCGAUAUAAAACAAUGCAAGAUUUAUCACAUUAAUCGUAAACUUCCUGAUUUGAAGCUGCACAUACAAUCAUGCAUCGAAGCAAGAAAGGAGUAGAUGCUUGAAACCAUUGAAGGUUCCACAGAGGAACAGAUACAAGAACCUCGAGGGAUUUUACAUUUCAGAGAAAACAGAAAAGGAGAAAGUCGGCAAAAACAAAUAGUUUAAAUCAUCAAAUAAAGAACGAAACAGUAGUCUAAUAUAAUAUAUAUGUUAAAAUAUUAUACAGAUUAAAGCAAAUGUCAAGGAACUUGCAAACUUGGUCAACCAAGUUGUGACGGUGGAAAAAGUAAAUUUUUAUUUUUUAUGUACAGCAGAAUGACAAAAUAAAGUAAACUUUAAGUAUUUAUGCAUGGGAUUUUUAUUGCACUAGUUCUUCGCUUACAUGUAUCACAGGACAUGAUUAAAUCUUGGGAAAAUGAAAUAAUUUCUCUAAUAAUAAUAUAUAUUUUUAUUUAUUUUCCUUUGUUUUUGAAUAAAUACUAUAAUAAUGUUCAUGUCACUCUUUGGAAUACGGCACGUUUCAAAUGACUUGGGUAUGUUAUUAUUCGGUGGCAGUAUUUAAAUCCUGGUUUAUCAAAUAAUGUGUGGGCGAGUGUCCAAACGAAACUGAAAAUAUUCGGAAGAGCUAGUAGGCGUUCCUGGUUUGCAUUGUAUAUCUUGGCUUACCUUAUAUCCGAAGCAGGAAAAGGGACAGUGUGGAUUGGACAAACCAACCUUGGUUCGAUUCCAAGGCUUAAUAAUAAUUUGAACUUAUUCCUUAUCACUGUGGGUAGAUUACGGGCAACAAAUUUAGCCUCAAAUCUUAUUAAAAUAUUCUCUAUUGAUCUUUGUUUCAAAUAAUAGAUGAAAAUUCCAACAAAUUAAAAAACCCGCACUUUGUUUUGGCAUUUUGGGGAUUCCACGAAAGUGCAGUUAGGUGUCAAAGUAACGUAUGGUUCAUACUUCAUAUCCCAACUAUGUAAUAACAAUUUCUCUCUCUAUCUGAACUAGUGAAGUGAGUUGUAAAUCAGUGGUAGAUCGGCUGCCUCCGUUAAAAAACAAUUUUGUGUUAAUAUCAAAUAAAAAGAAUAUUUACCACUGUCACAUUUUAUGUGUUCAUGCGCAUUACAGUACUUCCGAUAUAAUCGGCUACUGAUCUGCUAAUUGGUCUAUUUAAAUGCGUGAUACAUGCGACAUAAAUAUAUAUGUAUAAACUUUUUGUUUGUUGCACUAUUGUUCUGUUUGGCAUUGUCAAAAAGGUACCAACUGGCAUGUCAUAUGCAAAUCUUGAAUGCCAUUCGUCGUAUU
This is a non-coding RNA of Styela clava, 1785 nucleotides long. The record is from RefSeq and is a predicted model, not a curated record. NCBI's taxonomy places the organism in Eukaryota, Metazoa, Chordata, Ascidiacea, Stolidobranchia, Styelidae.